AUAUCAGACCCCUCCCAUCUUCUCCUUCACUCCACCAGUCCACCUGAGUCUUCCUGCUGGCGUCCCCUACUCUCCUCCAUGGCGUUGGCUCUCCGACCAGGAUGGCGCAGGCGAGCGCUGCACCGAGCGGGCGAGGAAGGCAUGAGGGGCGGAUAGUAGGUGCAGGCAUGUGCCCCGUGCAAGCAUGAAUGGCGGCCGGCGGAUGCACAUCAGGCGUUCCGCAGGUGAGUUUUUCCUCCCGUAAGCAUCCUAACAUCCAGUGCUCUUGCUUCCAAAAUCAAAACGGAUUUCUAUUCACUGGAUCCAAAUCGCCCCAACCCAAAUUGCGCUUGUUGCCCUCAAAUUAAGCUCUCUAGUUCAUCACUUCUAUCUACUUCUUCUUGGGCCUCGAAUCCAUCUCCCCACUCUGUUCUUUCCCAUCGUUCCCGUUGUGACUGCACCCUUGCCGUUGCCUCGCUCCCGAGUCCCAUCACGCUUCUGGCAUUUGCUCUCUCUCCUGCGCUACAGCAGCGCGGCUCACCGGCGAGGGCUGCACUGAUGAGGGCCGUAUCGCAUUGCGCUGUCAACGGAGGCACAACUCGCUUAUGAGGGUCAUGCUGUGAUAUGGCAGUGUCUCCAGCACGCAGCACAGGCGCGCAAGGCGGCCCCUGCCAGCACCAACGGCUGAUUUGUAGCACUCAGCAAGGUCUCAGGUCUGUAGCUCCAUCCGCUCCAAUUCCACCUCCUGCUGUCCAUAUGUGUCUCAUCAAUGGAGGAUGCACACUAUGUGUUUGAUGAUUUGCCAGCGCAAACCAAACCAAUGAUCUGUUCAUGGAGGUGCACACCAUAUGUUUGAUAGUUUGCCUUGGCAAUGGUGAGUCGGUGAACAAUCAACCAUGCCUAGAUUUCUGCACAGAUAACAAUAAAAGUGAAUAGAAAUGUGCUGACACAUUCAGUUUACUUGCCUUGUCUAAGGUCAUAAUUCUAGUUUCUAGCUCUCGAAAAUGAAUCAUAUUUUUGUAACAAUAAAUUUGUAAUAAUCUAUAAGUUCCUUGGGCAUGCUCCUGUGGUAAUCUUAUAUCAAGUUCAGCAUAUUGCAUAUUUGCAUUUGGAAAUAGACAAUGAUUCUUUAUCCUUUAACCUUUAUUAACCAUGCCCUAAUUUCUGCAAAAGUUUGAAUAAAAAGUGACUACACAUGUAGUUGGCAAGGAGUCCUAUUUGAUGAAAACAAGAAGGCACAUUCAGUCUACUUGCAUUGCCUUAGGUAAUGAUUCUAGAUCGGAAAUGAAUCUUAUUUUUCAAGCCAUAAAUUUAACAAGCUAAAAGUACCUUGGAUAUGCUCAUAUGCUUUUCUUAUGUCAACUUCAGAGCAAACCACAUAUUUGCAUUGACAAAAGGAAAAUAGUUCUUUAUCCAUUAGCCAUUGUGAUUAAGCUCACGUACUGUAUGUGUUUGCGACACGGUAUGAUCUGAUGUAACCAUACUUCUUGACAUAUAAUUACGGAUUUUCUGGCGAGGAUCAAUACCAGUAGUUGUAGAAAUAAAUAAGACAAUCAUUAUGAUUCUUGCACCUUCUGCUAUAUGCUCUUGUAUAUCUGCAUAAGAAUACUUAACCAUUUGACACUUACCUCUACUAAAAGCUAUUAUUUAACUGCAGGUGAAUACUUGGUAUUUUCCCUUUUGUAUUGCAAGAAAAUUUACGUAACAACAAAAAAAAUCAGCUGUUGUAUUUGAUUUGUUGAUUUUGCGUAGAUAUUAUUGAUUUACUUUCCAAUUGAUUACAAUGUUCUUUGAGAUAAAGCUCUGCCCAAGAUCCUUUUGCAGUGAUGUUGUACUAUUAACUUUUGUGGUGACUGCUUCCAACCGAGCUGUUGUGCUUUCUGUGUAAUGAGACACCACUGUGCUGAUGGCUAAAAGGUCUUAUGUAUUUAGUUCCUGCUCAUGUCUUUUCUUCUUUUUUUCCCACCGCUCCAUUUAUUUACUUCACCAAACAUGAUCCAUAUACCUCCCUAGGGAGUAUGAUACAAGUAGUUUUUUUUCCGGAUGUGUAUAGUGCACCAAAGAAAACAUAGCAAAUUGCAAAUUGACAGUUAUGAAGCUACUUUUCUGGUGUUGUUUUGCAGCAUUGCACCUUAAGCGAGGAGGACCUUUUUAUAUAAGAAUUUUUUUAAUUUCAUUAUCAUAGAAAUAUGAGAUAACAGUGGAUAUUUCCAGCAAAGAUCAGGGUGUUUCUUCUCUUGGACUAGGUCCAAUUUUUAUUUCCCAAUAGAAUACAAUGACAAACACAUAUUAGCACAUGUUUGGCAUAGGCUUGACACAUGCAAUGAGGCAAUUGUUAAUUACAUUUUAGUGACACAAAUAGUCAAGUUCAGACUAAAUAGUGAACAAACCAUUUUUUAGUGAUGCAUUCAAACAGGAAUUGGAUGGAUCCUCGCAAAAAGUACAUAGAGAGUUUGGAUGUAUAAUGGGUGUGCACACCUGAACUCAAUUGGAUCUUAAAGCAUCUGGAGUCGUGAUCUCUCUGAAUUUUGUAAUGAAAAAGAAGCAACAUGAUUGAGCUUUGGUACAUUACUAAAUAUAGCAUUAUGAAGAUAUGUACGGAUCUAUUCAUUUUCUUUUUUGAAAGACUGAUGGAGUUAUUGUUUUAGGAUAAUAGUUCUAGCUAUAGUAACUGUAAUAAAUAUCCUGAUUUGGAUAACAUCAAGUCCAACAAAUAUCUUUAGAUAAUAUUAAAAGUAUAGUCGCUAUUUGGAUUGAACACCUUACCAAUAUUAUUUGGUAAGGUGUUCAAUCCAAACAGUUAUUUGAUCAGGUUCAUGCUCUGAAUAUUCUAGACUAUCUGAAUUCAUGCAUUUGGAUGUUUGGCUUGCAGACACAAGUCAUUACCUGGAGGUCCAAAAGGUAAAUAACUUCAAACCUACCUGUUUAAAUUAUCGCAACAUAUUAUAUUAUACAAUAGAUCUGUUUCUUUUCACAAAUGCUUCGAGAUUAUUCAAUGCAGAGUCUGCAAAUCUUAAAUUUCGAGUCCUAUCAGAGUUACUAGAUGCUAACUCUUUCAGAUAAUCUCAGUGGAAGACAUACUCACAAAGAUCAAUGAUUUUCAUACUUCCUCAUUGUACUCACGAGGGAUGCCGCUCCAUAGUAUUUGUAGGGAUCUAUAUUAUCUCUUUAACAUUGCACAACCUAAUAUGGAUCUCUUUACUUAGGAAGAGUUGUGUCCAGAUCCUUCAUGAAAUAUCUUAAACCUUGAUUGAUGGAUUUGGUUUCUGCAGGCUGUGUGGCUCAUCUUGAAGAACUUAAUCCACUAAACUACAAACACAUGGUACAUUGCUGAUCGACACAAUCCUUACAUGCCUUCUCUUCUAUAUGUGCUGGUGCACAUAAAGGCAUCCAAAUCACGCCACAUCAACUAAUAAACCAAAAGAAAUAAUUCAGUUGCACUAAACAUGAGUAACACGAGUUGCUUUCAUUUUUCAGGCUAUAUCACACCCGUAGGCUAAAGUAUACCAUGACAUUGAUACUUAUAAUUAUAACCUCAUACUUCCUCAUUUUUUUAAUGAUGUAUCGACAAUGUUCUAGAUGAACAUGUUUCGAAUGAUAAGGUAUUGCUCUUUCUCUUCUCAGUCCAAGCUGUUGUCCCUAAUUAAGUCCAAGUAGGGUUUAAGUCCAUAGUACCAAUUUUCUUAUUGACAGUUGAUGUUUCCCAAUACUGUGCAUACAUAUUCUCAACAAUAAUCAUUUAACUUUUAUUGUCCACACCUUAUGGAAUGAACAGGUGUACCGUGACGUAGUCAAGUCCAUAAUUCAAAUUAUAUUUCAGAGAAUGAAAGAAACAUGUUUUGCUUGUGGCCAAACAUGUUAGUUCUUACAAGGAAGCUUAUCUUAUACAUUAUAUUUUUACGCAUAAAUGAAUUGUAGUUUGCGAUAGUUUCUGCUGAUCAUGUCAACAUCAUAUUGCGACCUUUUUCUGUCAUUAGUAUACUGGACUUUAUCAACUGCUUCGUGACAGAAUAUAGUGUUAUCCUUCCUAAAAGGCCGGAUAAUCAUGUCCAUUGAAAAUGCUACCAGUUGCAUUUUUGUUCCAUUGCCGAAUAUAAUAUACCUUUUCUACGUGCCAAUUAUAGAGAACUAUGCAACUUGCAACUGUGGGGAUAAUGUAUUUCCAUAGGUGCAGUUUGUGAAGCACGUUUCAACAAUGCUCUUUGAAUGACACUAUACUACAAGAUGAGUGGAUCUUCAACAAACAGCCAAGAAGCUUGGUCCCUUUUGUUUAUUUGUAAUACCUGAAGCUUCAUCAUAUGGUCAUGACAAUGGGAUGACAAGGGGCUCAUGCGAGAAAAUGAGCCAAAAAAUUGGUAACCUAACAUACCAGCCCCUCCAAUAGCACGACAAGGCAUCAAGACCUUCCCAAGUGAAGCAAGUGGGAAAUACAAUGUCAUUCCCAAGACCCCAAUCCAUUUCCUAUUUCUGUGUCUCUACUUAUGUAUGUUUGUAAAACUAUGAACCUGUAUAUAAUUAGAUAUCUACAUCUGUACUCGAUCACCAGUCAAUGAAAAUAUUGUUCAUAUUAUUAGUUUA
Panicum virgatum (switchgrass) is the source of this 4557-nucleotide long non-coding RNA. RefSeq lists it as uncharacterized. Lineage: Eukaryota; Viridiplantae; Streptophyta; Magnoliopsida; Poales; Poaceae. The transcript has 4 exons. The record is from RefSeq and is a predicted model, not a curated record.